UGUCUCCUGCGGCGUUCGACAAUCGCUCUAAUCCCCUUGAGCCUAAUUGCAAAACCCCGGGAGCCAAUUCUGUUUGGGCGUGCAGGCCCGCGUUAUCGGCGGGAAGCCCGAAGAACGGAUUGCGGCACCCACUUGAGACCUCGUCUCAAGGUACCGAGCGAAUGACGGCGCAGGCGGGAGACAC
RNAcentral lists this non-coding RNA (184 nucleotides) under Hydrocarboniphaga daqingensis. RNAcentral describes it as "6S / SsrS RNA". It matches the Rfam family "6S / SsrS RNA". Rfam says of the family: E. coli 6S RNA was the first non coding RNA to be sequenced, but its function was unknown until recently. It consists of 184 nucleotides that fold into an extended hairpin structure with a large single-stranded internal bulge. The record is from Rfam by way of RNAcentral. Lineage: Bacteria; Pseudomonadati; Pseudomonadota; Gammaproteobacteria; Nevskiales; Nevskiaceae.